RNAcentral lists this ribosomal RNA (331 nucleotides) under uncultured bacterium. RNAcentral describes it as "bacterial SSU rRNA". It matches the Rfam family "Bacterial small subunit ribosomal RNA", at positions 30 to 352 of the family's 1533-position model. The record is from RNAcentral.
AUUGAACGCUGGCGGCAGGCCUAACACAUGCAAGUCGAACGGUAACAGGAAGAAGCUUGCUUCUUUGCUGACGAGUGGCGGACGGGUGAGUAAUGUCUGGGAAACUGCCUGAUGGAGGGGGAUAACUACUGGAAACGGUAGCUAAUACCGCAUAACGUCGCAAGACCAAAGAAGGGGGACCGUUCGGGCCGUCUUGCCAUCGGAUGUGCCCAGAUGGGAUUAGCUAGUAGGUGGGGUAACGGCUCACCUAGGCGACGAUCCCUAGCUGGUCUGAGAGGAUGACCAGCCACACUGGAACUGAGACACGGUCCAGACUCCUACGGGAGGCAGC